This 301-nucleotide ribosomal RNA is filed under the name uncultured bacterium. Its description in RNAcentral is "partial 16S ribosomal RNA". It matches the Rfam family "Bacterial small subunit ribosomal RNA", at positions 510 to 809 of the family's 1533-position model. The record is from RNAcentral.
CGUAGCCCGGGAAUACAGAGGGUGCGAGCGUUAAUCGGAUUUACUGGGCGUAAAGCGUGCGUAGGCGGCUUCUUAAGUCGGAUGUGAAAUCCCUGAGCUUAACUUAGGAAUUGCAUUCGAUACUGGGAAGCUAGAGUAUGGGAGAGGAUGGUAGAAUUCCAGGUGUAGCGGUGAAAUGCGUAGAGAUCUGGAGGAAUACCGAUGGCGAAGGCAGCCAUCUGGCCUAAUACUGACGCUGAGGUACGAAAGCAUGGGGAGCAAACAGGAUUAGAUACCCCUGUAGUCCCUGUCUCUUAUACAC